CAGACGGUUACUUAAGCAGGAUGUGAAAUCCCCGGGCUCAACCUGGGAACUGCGUUCUGAACUGGGUGACUAGAGUGUGUCAGAGGGAGGUAGAAUUCCACGUGUAGCAGUGAAAUGCGUAGAGAUGUGGAGGAAUACCGAUGGCGAAGGCAGCCUCCUGGGAUAACACUGACGUUCAUGCUCGAAAGCGUGGGUAGCAAACAGGAUUAGAUACCCUGGUAGUCCACGCCCUAAACGAUGUCAAUUAGCUGUUGGGCAACUUGAUUGCUUAGUAGCGUAGCUAACGCGUGAAAUUGACCGCCUGGGGAGUACGGUCGCAAGAUUAAAACUCAAAGGAAUUGACGGGGACCCGCACAAGCGGUGGAUGAUGUGGAUUAAUUCGAUGCAACGCGAAGAACCUUACCUGGUCUUGACAU
RNAcentral lists this ribosomal RNA (416 nucleotides) under uncultured bacterium. RNAcentral's name for it is "bacterial SSU rRNA". It matches the Rfam family "Bacterial small subunit ribosomal RNA", at positions 572 to 987 of the family's 1533-position model. The record is from RNAcentral.